Calycina marina is the source of this 92-nucleotide non-coding RNA. NCBI's taxonomy places the organism in Eukaryota, Fungi, Ascomycota, Leotiomycetes, Helotiales, Pezizellaceae. The record is from the annotation of a GenBank genome assembly.
GCGGCUUUAGCUCACUUGGGAGAGCGCCAGACUGAAGUUAACUUUGGAACAUAUAUAUCUGGAGGCACUGUGUUCGAUCCACAGAAGCCGCA